UACGUAGGGUGCGAGCGUUGUCCGGAAUUAUUGGGCGUAAAGAGCUCGUAGGCGGUCUGUCGCGUCGGUCGUGAAAACCUGCAGCUUAACUGUGGGCGUGCGGUCGAUACGGGCAUGACUGGAGUUCGGCAGGGGAGACUGGAAUUCCUGGUGUAGCGGUGAAAUGCGCAGAUAUCAGGAAGAACACCAAUGGCGAAAGCAGCUUUCUGGGACGGUACUGACGCUGAGACGCGAAAGCGUGGGGAGCGAACAGG
This 254-nucleotide ribosomal RNA is filed under the name uncultured bacterium. Its description in RNAcentral is "partial 16S ribosomal RNA". It matches the Rfam family "Bacterial small subunit ribosomal RNA", at positions 524 to 776 of the family's 1533-position model. The record is from RNAcentral.